UAUAAGUAUUAUGUGAGCUUUGUCGAUGAUUAUUCCCGUUUCACUUGGAUAUAUCUUCUUAAGCACAAGUCUGACGUUGAGCAAGUAUUUUAUGCUUUUCAGGCUCAUGUUGAGCGUCUUCUCCGCACUAAAAUCAUAUCCGUUCAGUCAGACUGGGGUGGUGAGUACCACAAAUUACACCGCUAUUUCCAACGCACUGGGAUCUCUCAUCGUGUGUUCUGCCCACACACCUCUCAGCAAAACGGGAUUGCUGAACGCAAACACCGUCAUCUUGUGGAAACAGGUCUGGCCUUAUUGGCUCAUUCGUCUCUCCCUUUACGGUAUUGGGACGAAGCU
This 336-nucleotide ribosomal RNA is filed under the name Triticum aestivum (bread wheat). RNAcentral describes it as "partial small subunit ribosomal RNA". Lineage: Eukaryota; Viridiplantae; Streptophyta; Magnoliopsida; Poales; Poaceae. The record is from RNAcentral.